AUUGAACGCUGGCGGCAUGCUUUACACAUGCAAGUCGAACGGUAACAGGCCGCAAGGUGCUGACGAGUGGCGAACGGGUGAGUAAUGCAUCGGAACGUGCCCAGUCGUGGGGGAUAACUACUCGAAAGAGUAGCUAAUACCGCGUACGAUCUAUGGAUGAAAGCGGGGGACCGUAAGGCCUCGCGCGAUUGGAGCGGCCGAUGUCAGAAUAGGUAGUUGGUGGGGUAAAGGCUCACCAAGCCAACGAUCUGUAGCUGGUCUGAGAGGACGACCAGCCACACUGGGACUGAGACACGGCCCAGACUCCUACGGGAGGCAGCAGUGGGGAAUUUUGGACAAUGGGCGCAAGCCUGAUCCAGCAAUGCCGCGUGCAGGAAGAAGGCCUUCGGGUUGUAAACUGCUUUUGUACGGAACGAAACGGCUCUGGUUAAUACCCGGGGCUAAUGACGGUACCGUAAGAAUAAGCACCGGCUAACUACGUG
Molecule: ribosomal RNA, 482 nt
Filed under: uncultured bacterium
Lineage: Bacteria
Description: partial 16S ribosomal RNA
Rfam family: Bacterial small subunit ribosomal RNA
Source: RNAcentral